UAGUCCACGCCGUAAACGAUGAGAACUAGAUGUCGGGAGGAAUUGCCUUUCGGUGUCGCAGCUAACGCGUUAAGUUCUCCGCCUGGGGAGUACGCCGGCAACGGUAAAACUCAAAGGAAUUGACGGGGACCCGCACAAGCGGUGGAGCAUGUGGUUUAAUUCGAUGCAACGUGAAGAACCUUACCUGCCCUUGACAUUGACAGAAUCCUGUAGAGAUACAGGAGUGCUUCGGCCUGGAAAACAGGUGCUGCAUGGCUGUCGUCAGCUCGUGUCGUGAGAUGUUGGGUUAAGUCCCGCAACGAGCGCAACCCUUGUCCUUAGUUGCCAGCACAUAAUGGUGGGAACUCUAGGGAGACUGCCGGUGACAAACCGGGAGGAAGGUGGGGACGACGUCAAGUCAUCAUGGGCCCUUAUGGGGCAGGGGCUACACACGUGCUACAAUGGGGGAGUACAGAGGGGCUGCCAACCAGCAAUGGGCGAGCCAAUCCCUUAAAGCUUCUCGUAGUCCGGGAUC
Molecule: ribosomal RNA, 514 nt
Filed under: uncultured bacterium
Lineage: Bacteria
Description: bacterial SSU rRNA
Rfam family: Bacterial small subunit ribosomal RNA
Source: RNAcentral